UAUGAAGUUGAUAAAAUCUGUUUUUUCAUUCAAACAUUUCAGUAUGAAGCGAUGUCUAGUUUUAUUCGUUUAUCCGUCAGAAAUUUAACCGGAUGCAUGUUUAGGAAAAAUUCAUGUCUGAGGGAAUGUCAAAAAAUACGUUGCGUUUGGAAAAUGUUACAAAUCAAAUGUUUGUAUAUGUUUCAAAUAAAGACUAUUUCUAAAUA
Molecule: non-coding RNA, 206 nt
Organism: Hydra vulgaris (swiftwater hydra)
Lineage: Eukaryota; Metazoa; Cnidaria; Hydrozoa; Anthoathecata; Hydridae
Source: RefSeq, a predicted model, not a curated record